Non-coding RNA from Acanthosepion pharaonis, 94 nucleotides. Lineage: Eukaryota; Metazoa; Mollusca; Cephalopoda; Sepiida; Sepiidae. The record is from the annotation of a GenBank genome assembly.
UGCACCGAUUCCCGUCCCAUCGCCGGAGUUAAGUAAUGUCGAGCCCGGUUAGUAUCUAGAUGGGUUACCACUUGGGAAUACCAGGUGCUGUAAG